ACAAAUUUCGUGAUUUGGGGAGUUCAAACUUAGGGCCUUAGUUAUGGGCUUGGGUUUAAAGUUUAAACUAAACAAAGGUGAAACAAUCACUAGGGUUUCGGAGUGCAGCUAGAUUUUCAUUUUGUUAUUUACCAAAAAAUAAAAAAUAUUUUCAUUUUGUUACUCCAAAAUUUUCUUGUUCGUUUUUGUUGCUUCUCUACUCAACGCUUCACCAUGAGCAGAUCAGGGCAGCCACCGGAUUUGAAGAAGUACAUGGACAAGAAAUUUUAGAAUAAUACUACACAUUCAAAUAUUUUUACGAACUUAAGUCCAACCAAGAUAAACAAUAAGAAUUGAAAUAAUUUAAACCUAAUGCAAACAGGAUGAUUGUUGGUACCCUCAGGGGUUUUGACCAGUUCAUGAACCUAGUUGUUGACAACACUGUUGAAGUCAAUGGCAAUGAAAAUAGCGAAAUAGGAAUGGUGGUAGUUAGAGGAAACAGUGUGGUUACUGUUGAAGCACUUGAGCCUGUCAACUUCUGUUUUAUUGUAAUAUUUCUCAGUAAUUGCAAUGUUUGAAAUGGUGUAUAUUUUGAACAUUGUAGAUGGCUUACUUCUGAGAGUAACAUGGAAGCGUGGAUCUUAAGGUCAUUUGGCCAUUACUUUGGAGUUCAUUUCUUUUCUCAGCUGAUUUGUUAGUGUAGCGCACUGUGCAUUCCAGAUACCACUGUGAUUUUUUAAUGGGAUGGCACUGAGUUUACCAAAUUGAAAUUAUGUCUAUGUCUAUAUAUAUUUUUAUUUUAUUUUUUAUAGAAUUAUAAUCUUUUCUCCCGUUAUGUAUUGUUAUGAUUUAAUAAUACUUUGAUGGUUCUGUCUGUGCUCAAAACUUGGUUCACGUCUGUCUUUUGGAUAAACAAGGGGCAAAUUGCCUAACCACCGCACUAGGAUGCCAUUAAAAGAAACAUGACGUGUUCCAGCAAAUAAAGCAGUGAAGAAAGAGAAUUAGUUGCGGGGGUAAAUGAUGAAACCCCACAGGAAGUGAGGGACCAUGCUUAGCAAGCUCUGAACAUUUUGUAUGAUUUUCUUAUUGUAAAUAUUUGUUGUUAGUUGUGUAUCUCAUGGAGGGGAUUAGCUGUUACAUGUUUUUGUUAUGUAGUUGAGUCAUGUAUUUGUUUUGUUUCAUUCGGUAUGUUUAGAGGUUUUUGUUGUUGAUGAACUAAUAUGCCAAUUUUUUGGCAUUCCUUGUAGUCGGGUUUUGUCUAUCUAGAGUACCCCACUUGUCUUAA
Molecule: RNA transcript, 1264 nt
Organism: Arachis duranensis
Lineage: Eukaryota; Viridiplantae; Streptophyta; Magnoliopsida; Fabales; Fabaceae
Gene name: probable small nuclear ribonucleoprotein G
Exons: 4
Source: RefSeq, a predicted model, not a curated record